Chinchilla lanigera (long-tailed chinchilla) is the source of this 493-nucleotide long non-coding RNA. RefSeq lists it as uncharacterized. The transcript is spliced from 3 exons. The record is from RefSeq and is a predicted model, not a curated record. NCBI's taxonomy places the organism in Eukaryota, Metazoa, Chordata, Mammalia, Rodentia, Chinchillidae.
GACUGCAUUACCUUGGCGGGGUGUCGUCAUUGGCUGCCUAUUAGAAAAACUGCAAGACAAUGCAUACCACUGCCUGCGACUGUAAACAUAGGGGCUAUGUGUUCGCUUAGCGUGGACUUCGGGGAGGGGCCAAAGAAGGGCGGUCUGCAGUUUUAUUGAGUAGGGCACUGUGCGCUAGGCUGCCUGCCUGCCUACUGCUCUCUCGCUGUGCUCUUGCUUAAAGGAAUCAGUCCUCCUCUCCAACGUCGUCCUCUGGAAGAAGUUGCAGCCUCAGGGAGGUAUCAAUAGUUAUUUCCAGAUCAUCUAAUCUAGAAGGUUUUCUGAUCACUAGAAGGCUCAGGAGUGAAUAUCGGACUGCUUAACUACAUUACCUGGUCUCCUUAAAGCUGAAACAUCACCAUGGAUGAUUUUGAACGCCGCAGAGAACUCAGGAGGCAAAAGAGGGAGGAGAUGCGGCUGGAAGCAGAAAGGUAGGAUGUACAAAUCGACAGAA